Molecule: long non-coding RNA, 1987 nt
Organism: Bos taurus (domestic cattle)
Lineage: Eukaryota; Metazoa; Chordata; Mammalia; Artiodactyla; Bovidae
Source: Ensembl
ACAAGGAAAAAGUUGGGAGGCCUCUGAAAUGAGGCAGCUUGUCCUCCUGAUGCAGGAGGACGGGCUGAAAACUCAAGAGUCACCAGGCUCUGGGGGCUGGCGACACCCUGCUUCUAGACCCAGGCACUGCCCGCAGGUUGGGGCUCCCACAGUCAGAACAAGAGGGAGUGCCGGGAGGCCCAGUCUCAAGGCCAAGUCUGGAAGAGGCGAUCUUAAAGGAUGACUUCCGACAAAGUGAGGAUAGAAAUCAAGAAAGAAAGCAACCCCGGACCCGGCAAGCAGGGGUCCAGUGUUGGAAGUAAGAAAUCAAUAGAUACAAUCCAAAAUAGAAAAAUCACGAAUUUGUAGUAUCUGCACAUCAGGUAGAAGAGAGACACCCAGGAGCAGAAGAAAACGACCAACGGAGAUGUCACAAGGGCCCUUCAGCAGCUUCCGGCAGAUUCUCCAAAGAUUCACUGGCUGGAAGCAGUGACCCUAAAUCAGAAAAGCAACUCCUGGGGGGCGCAGCUCCGGACACGACCCUGGGGAGGACUUGAAGCAUUCUCUCUCUUCCUUCCUUGGACACACCUACUCGGAGGCUCCUGGCCCCGGGAGGCCCCCAGCGGAGCUGGAGGAGGGCCCAGCACCAGGGGUGGGUGAGAUGCCAGCACCCCCUUGGAGAUCAGAACUGCUAGUCGGGUCAGCUGACCCCAUCUCUGGCCACCUGAGUGACCCUCCUGGGGGACUGGACCUGGAGCUUGGGCUCCUCGGGUGCCAGCGUCACUGCUCUGGUCUCCCCAGUCUGCCCAGAGCCCCCUAAAGCCCACCGUGUGCUCAGCCAUGGGACUCCUCAUCCGAAGCCUCCGAGCCCUCCUUUUCCCAUCCCUCCACCACCCGGCCCGCUGGUACCAGAGCUGCCCUGCAGGACAAGCCUCAGCCUGGGCCACAGGCAAGGCCGCUUGACUCAGCAGUCCCUGCUGUGCCCACAGCCGGCGGGGAGGUUGCAGGUGCCUCCCCUCCCUGCCCAGGCAUCAAGUCACAGGGCUUGAAUACUUCCCAGGACAGGGAGCUCAUCAGCCCCAGGCAGCAGCCUGCCCCAGGCAGAAACGCUUCGACUUCCGAGACAAGUCCUUUGUGAUGAACUGACACCUGAACACCGGUUAAUUCCAUCUGUUUACACAUUUUCGUCAUCCGCAUCAUUAUUAAUACUGUCUACAUACCAGCACACUGCAGUAUGUCAGCGAAUCCUUCACCACUUGUGGAGCUGGGGCCUGUCUCUCCAUCAUGUACUGGUAGAUGGGAAACCUGAGGUCCAGAGGAAGUGUGUCACCUAAGUGUGUGACACGGCCAGGAAGUCACAGAACGUGGGCUCAGAUCCAGAGCCCAGGCCCUUGCCAGCCAGGGGUGUGCCCAUCCAGGUUCCACCAUCUGCUUAGCUCCCCUCUCCAGCGUGUUCUUACUUCUCUGCCAGGGGCCACUACCCCACAAAGCUCACACCUUCUCCCCCAGACCCUGCAGAUGGAUCAACUACUCCUCCAGGAAGUCCUCCUGAGACAGCCAAAGGGUAUGGAAGGAACCCUCUUCCCAAGGUUGUGAUGGCGGCUGCCGGCGUGGAGCCAGCCCGACUGCCUGGAGUGAGGACUCCUUCUCCCCCACACCUGCUGAGCACCAGCCCUCUGAUCCUUCUCUUCAGGGGACCCCAGACUUCAUCUUUGCAGUAAUUGCAUACCAGGGGUAGCCAAGUCAGAAAGAUCCAGGUCCUCACUGCAGAGGCCUGCCAGACACCGCUUUGGCAGAAUGAAAAAUAAAACCCAAGGCCUAGACUGAUCUUCCAGAAUCUUCUGGUCCAUUCCCAGCCUCCAAGCACUGGAUGUUGGAUUGGCGGGGUAGAGGGAUCAGACAGUUUCCUCCUCCUCCCUUCCUGUGACACCAGCUUCUUGUUCUUCCCUCCAGAAAGGUGGCAAAAGUUAGUUACAUGUAUUCUUCAGCUGAUGCUAGGAAUAAACAC